Molecule: non-coding RNA, 991 nt
Organism: Peromyscus maniculatus bairdii (prairie deer mouse)
Lineage: Eukaryota; Metazoa; Chordata; Mammalia; Rodentia; Cricetidae
Source: RefSeq, a predicted model, not a curated record
CUCUGGCUUUAGCGUUCUUUCAUCCCUGCUUCCCUGAUGUCCCCUGAGCCUUGGAGGGUGUGAUGUAGCCCUUCCCACCUCCGACUGAGCAUUCUACAGUCACUUAUUCUCAGCACUUAGGACAGCCAGGUCUCUGCAGCGACAGCUGCCCACUGUAGAGAAGAGGUUUCUCUGACCGAGCAGAUCGCAACACUAAUCUACGUGCACAAACACAGCAGUUUGAUCCCAACAGAAGCGGUUGGACGUUUCCAUAGCACACUUCCCACUAUGGAACCGUCGAAGACAUCUUGUCCGGUCUGGCAGUAGCCAACACAGAGAACUCAAACCAUCGAGCCUUCAAUGUGACCCUUCUUUGACGUCCUUUGGGUCAAGGAGGCAAAGAGGACGCUCUAAUUAGAGAACUCAAGCCAAGCCCAAGUUAAAGAAGCUUCCACCACCCAUGCCACGUGCAGAACCAUGGAGAAGGAAGUGCUCUGUGCACCCCAGGAGGGAGUGUGCCUGGUGCAUAAAUCCAUACUUUCUUAACACACUCCUUCUGGGCUUUUGCUUUCUGCACAGGGAGAGGGAACUGUAAAAAUAGACUUUGUGUUUCUGAAGAAGUGGAAGACUUCUUGCAUCAUGGUGGUAAGCUACCAUCUACCGGGGGCCGUGGGACCCCAUGUGAACAUGCAGCUCAACCCUAAAAUAGCUACCAUUCCAGACAAGUGGGCUGGCUUUGUUUUUUUCCGUUUGUUUGUUUGUCUUGUUUUGUUUAGUCAAAAAAUGGGAGAUCACAUAAGCAAAGUUAAAAAAGAAACUGGUAUUGGGGAAAAUAGACCGGUGUUAGCUAGUCCAAACACCUGGUCAACAAAUUCACUUAAUUCACAUUGACUUCUCCCCAGCUGUGAGUCUUGGGUUAUUACUCUCUUUACUUUCUUUUUUUCCUUUGUAAGAACUCUACAGAAAUGGAAAGGAAAUAAUCUGUAAACAGAAAGUAUCGAUUUUUGCCGGA